CUACGGGGUGCUGCAGUGGGGAAUAUUGCACAAUGGGCGCAAGCCUGAUGCAGCCAUGCCGCGUGUAUGAAGAAGGCCUUCGGGUUGUAAAGUACUUUCAGCGGGGAGGAAGGGAGUAAAGUUAAUACCUUUGCUCAUUGACGUUACCCGCAGAAGAAGCACCGGCUAACUCCGUGCCAGCAGCCGCGGUAAUACGGAGGGUGCAAGCGUUAAUCGGAAUUACUGGGCGUAAAGCGCACGCAGGCGGUUUGUUAAGUCAGAUGUGAAAUCCCCGGGCUCAACCUGGGAACUGCAUCUGAGACUGGCGAGCUUGAGUCUGGUAGAGGGGGGUAGAAGUCCAGGUGUAGCGGUGAAAUGCGUAGAGAUCUGGAGGAAUACCGGUGGCGAAGGCGGCCCCCUGGGCGAAGACUGACGCUCAGGUGCGAAAGCGUGGGGAGCAAACAGGAUUAGAUACCCCGGUAGUC
RNAcentral lists this ribosomal RNA (464 nucleotides) under uncultured bacterium. Its description in RNAcentral is "partial 16S ribosomal RNA". It matches the Rfam family "Bacterial small subunit ribosomal RNA", at positions 339 to 795 of the family's 1533-position model. The record is from RNAcentral.